CUGAUGUCCCGGGGCAGAAAUAGCCCGUUUCAUCAUCGGCUCUGGACGACCGCCGCCCGCAUUCCUCGAGUAAGGAGCCGUCCUCUGCUGUGCUUUUGGAGCAGAAUAAUCUGCAGCUAGGGGAAGGCCAGGCUGGGUCUCAGGGUGAGAGUUACAGAAGGAUAUGAAAUAAUCGGGGAAGAGGCAAGGUGGAGAGCAUGACCUCAUGUCUUGUUUAGGAUCCUAGAAACAGCAAGCUUUGCUCUGCAGCAGGAGCGAAUGGUGUUUGCUUGAAGUGGCUGAUUGAGG
Molecule: long non-coding RNA, 288 nt
Filed under: Homo sapiens (human)
Lineage: Eukaryota; Metazoa; Chordata; Mammalia; Primates; Hominidae
Description: HSALNT0162524
Source: RNAcentral